RNAcentral lists this ribosomal RNA (497 nucleotides) under uncultured bacterium. Its description in RNAcentral is "partial 16S ribosomal RNA". It matches the Rfam family "Bacterial small subunit ribosomal RNA", at positions 28 to 507 of the family's 1533-position model. The record is from RNAcentral.
GAUGAACGCUGGCGGCGUGCCUAAUACAUGCAAGUCGAGCGAACAGACGAGGAGCUUGCUCCUCUGACGUUAGCGGCGGACGGGUGAGUAACACGUGGAUAACCUACCUAUAAGACUGGGAUAACUUCGGGAAACCGGAGCUAAUACCGGAUAAUAUAUUGAACCGCAUGGUUCAAUAGUGAAAGACGGUUUUGCUGUCACUUAUAGAUGGAUCCGCGCCGCAUUAGCUAGUUGGUAAGGUAACGGCUUACCAAGGCAACGAUGCGUAGCCGACCUGAGAGGGGGAUCGGCCACACUGGAACUGAGACACGGUCCAGACUCCUACGGGAGGCAGCAGUAGGGAAUCUUCCGCAAAGGGCGAAAGCCUGACGGAGCAACGCCGCGUGAGUUAUGAAGGUCUUCGGAUCGUAAAACUCUGUUAUUAGGGAAGAACAAAUGUGUAAGUAACUAUGCACGUCUUGACGGUACCUAAUCAGAAAGCCACGGCUAACUCCGUG